This 1311-nucleotide ribosomal RNA is filed under the name Actinomma boreale. RNAcentral describes it as "eukaryotic LSU rRNA". The stretch from base 510 to 1311 matches the Rfam family "Eukaryotic large subunit ribosomal RNA", at positions 1 to 840 of the family's 3401-position model. The record is from RNAcentral. Lineage: Eukaryota; Polycystinea; Spumellaria; Actinommidae.
GUCGUAACAAGGUUUCCGUAGGUGAACCUGCGGAAGGAUCAAUAACAUUCACAAACUCAAAAAAAUACAAACCGCGUAUAGUUGUACACGUCGUGGUUUCCACGACACACAACUUUUUCCAAACCCACAUCCACCAAAUGGUUUUGAACAAAAAAACAAAGAACCAACAUCCACCUUUCAACGAUGGAUCUCUUGGUUCGCGCAACGAUGAAGAACGCCGCGAAACGCGAUAUGUAAUGUGAAUUGCAGGAUUAAGUGAAUCAUCAAAUCUUUGAACGCAAAUGGCUGCUCUGGCUUUUAUGGUUGGAGCAUACCUGGUUCAGACUCGUUUGCCAAAAGCAAAAUGCAUCAUCAUAGAUUCGAACAUGGGCGUUGCUACUCCGCAUCGCUUCAAGAAUUUACAAUGUGGCUUUGCGCCCCUCUAGCAUCCAAGCGGUGCGCCGAGGUAGUAAAACACCAAGGCUGUGUCGUGCUUUUGUGGAGCGUAGCUUUUUACAAACUCAUGCUUUAGAGCUGAACUCAGGCAAGAGGACCCGCCGAAUUUAAACAUAUUACUAAGCGGAGGAAAAGAAACUAACAAGGAUUCCCUCAGUAACGGCGAGUGAAGCGGGAACAGCUCAAUGUGAAAAUCUGCGUCCUCCGGGCGUCGAAUUGUGGUCUGGGUUUGGUUUCAUAACGGGCACCGCGUGUAAUUCGUUGUUGAGUCAGCGAGCCGAAGAAGGUCAUAGCCCUGUUCCGUGCGGUCGCCCCCACCUGGAACCCUUCCUGUGAGUCGUGUUGCUUGGGACUGCAGCGCCAACCGGGUGGUAAUGUCCAUCCAAAGCUAAAUAUUUGCGCGAGACCGAUAGCGAACAAGUACCGUGAGGGAAAGAUGAAAAGAACUUUGAAAAGAAAGUGAAAUAGUACGUGAAAUCGUUGGAAGCAAGCGCAGCUCUCUGUCUUCUCCGCGCUGGACUCGUCCAGCAUGGAGGGCACGAUCGAUGUGGGCCCCGCCAGCAGGCACGCCACCGGCUCCGGUCGCGGCAGUCGCCCAGCGGGCCUCGUGUCGAGGAUUUUCGGGUCGCCCUACCUCUCCGGAGGUUGCGUCCCCAGGAUCGUGCUGUUUUGUCGGAGAGCUUCGACCCGUCUUGAAACACGGACCAAGGAGUCUGACAUGGGUGCGAGUAGUAGGGUGGCAAGCCCUAGUGCGCAGAGAAAUCGAGAUAGCCUUAGCCUGUAAAAGGGUGCAUGGCUGGCAGCGCGUUGUUCUUCUGUUCAGUGCCUAGCAAGAGCACUUAUGUCGGGACCCGAAAGAUGGUGAACUAUGCGUGA